Molecule: long non-coding RNA, 591 nt
Organism: Limulus polyphemus (Atlantic horseshoe crab)
Lineage: Eukaryota; Metazoa; Arthropoda; Merostomata; Xiphosura; Limulidae
Exons: 3
Source: RefSeq, a predicted model, not a curated record
UUUAUAAAGUAACUUGUAGAAUAUGCAAUGAAUGUUACACUGGAGAAGCAUCUCGUAUAUUUUACGAGUGAUAUAUAGAACACGUAAGAGACUUGUAUCAACUCAGCAAAAGUGCCUGUGCCAUAGCGGAUCACUACAUAGAAAAGCUUGGUAGAAAUAGUGCCGAGUGUAUCACUACAUAGAAAAACUUGGUAGAACGGCACUGACUAUCCUUUAUAAAUAGAGAUCUUUGGCACAGCUACUAAUUUGCUUGACCGUGAAUACAAAAGAAGCCUUACUUAUUUGUAAAUUUAAGCCACAAAUUGAUUGCGAUAUAGGCUGGUCAUAAUGAUCGUAGAACUUUUUUCCUCAACUAGUUGACUUCACUUUCAAAUCACCGAAGAAGCUGUAGAAACGAAACAUUGAGCGAGAUAAACAUUUCGUUGUUCUGGAGUUUAUGGUCGUUUUUUCAUCAUCUGAAAUGUCGAAGUCCACAGCAGACGAUCCACGCUGAAGAACAAGGGAACUGCCCAUUAGAAACGUGCGGGAAAUGUUCACCUAGUUUUUCCUGGUAGCGAAUCCUUUGUAUGGCUGGCUGUUUUUCAGCAAUUC